Canis lupus familiaris (dog) is the source of this 2553-nucleotide long non-coding RNA. RefSeq lists it as uncharacterized. The record is from RefSeq and is a predicted model, not a curated record. NCBI's taxonomy places the organism in Eukaryota, Metazoa, Chordata, Mammalia, Carnivora, Canidae. The transcript is spliced from 3 exons.
AAAGGCUGACAUUCCAGUUGGUAAGGGGGAGCUUCUCCUGCCCAACUGUCUCCUGCUGAAGGCCUUGGCCUUUUCUUGCCUCAGACUCAAACUGAAACCCAAGACUCUUCCUGGACUUCAGGCCUUUGUAUUCAGAUGGGAAUUAAACCACUGGCUCUCCUAGGUCUUAAAGCUUCCUGCCUGCAGAUCUUCGGACUCAGACUGCAUAAUCAUGUCUCAGGUUGGCCCAGCAGCUAAGAACGUGCUUCCCCUGACUCUGCUGAACCGAUCUGGCUGCAUUACCCAUCUCCUGGGUCUUUCUCCGGAGCAGCUCUCUCGGGAGCUGUAGCCCUCACUCUGCCCAGGAUGCGCUCUCCUGUGACAAGGAUACAACAUGUACCAGUCAGUGUUGCUGGGAGAAGAGCAUGAAGCAUCUGGAACAAUGCAUGGUACAUACGAGGUAAUUAGCAAAUGGCUGGGAUCCCAUAGAAGUUAAUGUUAGACUAUAGAGAAACUGCUUUGACACUUUGGUAACAACAUUAACACUGAUGACUACAAGUAGAGUACUGAGUGUCCCUCCAUUGCACUAAGUGCCUGAGGCUGAUUUUUCUAAGAACAGCUUCGCCAACUCUCUGUGGAUUACUGUCAUUCUCCUUCUUUGACAAAUGAAGAAACUGAAGCUUUGGACACCAAACAAUCUCUCAAGAGACAAGCAACUGGCCUCUCACCUACCCCAGGUCAGACUCCCUUGUUCUUACUAUAAAACUUAAUCAUAAAUUUAGAAAGACCUGAAAGUCUACAGCAAGUUUCAGAUACUUAACAGUGGAUUCAUCACCUGAGAACUCCAAUCUUGCACUCUGAAAGCCGGAACACCUUCUUCCUACAUAAAAAUCACAUGUAGCCAUAAGAAAAGAGAAUCUGCCUGUUAAAAUGCCACCACAAAUCUACUUUGCAUGAACAUAUUUUUAUCAUCAUGGAGAUUGGUCACCAGCUUAGACUUGAAAAUAGGUGAUUUGUUUGAACUUGUCACUAUACAAAACCCAACUGGUGUCUACUACACAGCUGGCUUUGGGCAAGGCUUUUGUUUGCUGAGAGAAAAGCAAAGAUUUAGACAUGGUGGCUAUUCCUGUUCAACUGUCUGCCUCUUUGCCAGGCUUGAGCUCUCUGAGAUGCCAAGGAAUCUGGACCUUCCAGAAGAGGUGGGGGUGGAGAGACGCCAUGGUAGGGGAGGCUGUUCUCUUUAGUUUAUACUUUUAUCUUCUCCCAGAAGUAUUUUCCAAUUCCAAGCAGUCUAAAGGGCUGCAAAACAUAUAUGUAAAGGGGAAAGUUUUUUUUUCUAUUUUUCUUCAUUUUAUCCACCAAAUAUGAAAAAGAAGGGAAAAGUAGGAUGUGACACAGAUAAGGGCAAGCCACACAAAAAAAUUAGAAAAUGUGUAGGAGAUCUUUGUCUUAGUUUUGAGAAAGCAGGUGGAAUCCCUCAUAUAAAUUACGGAGUGAUUUCUUAAAAUAAUAUUCUUAAUAAAAGCAGCUGAAGACACUGAAAAUUAAGUAAAAUAAUAGCACCUAACUUCCAUCGGGGGCUUCCUCUGAGCUAUUUCUCCCAAUAAUGCCAGGAGAUGGAUGCAUGAGCAUGGGUAUGGCGCAGAACAAACCCAGAGGCGCUUGGCUGUACGGAUGGGCACCAUACCGCAAGGCUGCUCAGGCAAUCCCUACCUGCAUUCUUGGCCGAGCUGCUGAACGACAGCUUGCUUCUUAACCUACAUAAUCUUGAAAAACACGAAUAAAUAACCAUACAGACAAAAAAUAUAUAUAACUAUUGGUACCAUCUGGGGAGAGAAAGUGAAAUAUGGAUUUUAUAAGGUCUCAAAUUUUCCUUUUGAAUGUUCUUUCCAAGUUCUGUCAUAAAGAAACAAAUUACCAAAAAGAAAAAAAAGGACAAAAUAGGAAAAUCAUGUGGAUGCUCAAGCUCAAUCAACCUCUGUCAAAUAUUUAGAAAGCUGAAACAGCCCCAUCCUUAGCCCACAGCAAGACUAUAAAUGGAGGUUGACACACAGUAUGUCUAAAUAUUUAAGUUCUAUAUUAAGCAAAUGCAUUGUUUAAUGAAACCUAUCUUUCUAACUUGAAAACACAGCUUAAAUUGCUUUAUUGAUAUUUUGAAAAUUUUAUUGACUCAUUAAAUCUUCAUAAUUAUUAUAAAAACAAACUAUUUAUAAAUCUAGUAUCUUGUGUCCAUCUAGCUGUCCAGGUACGUGUCCUGCCUCACAUAUGUCAUACCCGCACUUGCAUGUACAUUUUUAAGAAUGACAUGAACUGUGUUAGUUUGCAAAAUGCUAGUUAGUGUGUUUUGAAUACCACACUAGACUGUUAAUAUCUUUCAAACCACAAGUUGGGAGCAUGAAGGGAAUCAAGAAAAUGGAUGCUCACAAGUAGAGAACAAACAUUUUAUCAAUGCAAAAAUCUACUGCAUGCAUCUUUCGAUGGACACCGAGGCUCCUUCCACCAUUUGGCUACUGUGGACAUUGCUGCUAUAAACACUAGGGUGCAGGUGUCUCGAUUCUUCACUUUAUCUGUAUC